This 1163-nucleotide ribosomal RNA is filed under the name Coccomyces fagicola. Its description in RNAcentral is "Coccomyces sp. CLH-2019d partial large subunit ribosomal RNA". It matches the Rfam family "Eukaryotic large subunit ribosomal RNA", at positions 50 to 1444 of the family's 3401-position model. Lineage: Eukaryota; Fungi; Ascomycota; Leotiomycetes; Rhytismatales; Rhytismataceae. The record is from RNAcentral.
CCCGGGAAAAAGAAACCACAGGGGAUUACCCUCAGUAACGGCGAGUGAAGCGGUAACAGCUCAAAUUUGAAAGCUGGCUCCUUUCGGGGUCCGCAUUGUAAUUUGUAGAGGAUGUUUCGGGUGUGGCGCCGGUCUAAGUUCUUUGGAACAAGACGUCAUAGAGGGUGAGAAUCCCGUAUGUGACUGGUUGCCUACGCCCAUGUGAAACUCCUUCGACGAGUCGAGUUGUUUGGGAAUGCAGCUCUAAAUGGGUGGUGUACUUCAUCUAAAGCUAAAUAUUGGGUCUAGACCGAUAGCGCACAAGUAGAGUGAUCGAAAGAUGAAAAGCACUUUGGAAAGAGAGUUAAACAGUACGUGAAAUUGUUGAAAGGGAAGCGCUUGCAAUCAGACUUGCGCGGCGUCGAUCAACCUGGGUUCUCCCUGGUGCACUCGGCGCCGCUCAGGCCAGCAUCAGUUUUGGCGGCUGGAUAAAGGCUUAGGGAAUGUGGGCUCCUUCGGGAGCCGUUAUAGCCCUAGGUGCAAUGCAGCCUGCUGGGACUGAGGACCGCGCUUCGGCUAGGAUGCUGGCGUAAUGGUUGUAAGCGACCCGUCUUGAAACACGGACCAAGGAGUCUAACAUUUAUGCGAGUGUUUGGGUGUUAAACCCAUACGCGCAAUGAAAGUGAACGUAGGUGAGAACCCUUAAGGGUGCAUCAUCGACCGAUCCUGAUGUCUUCGGAUGGAUUUGAGUAAGAGCAUAACUGUUGGGACCCGAAAGAUGGUGAACUAUGCCUGAAUAGGGUGAAGCCAGAGGAAACUCUGGUGGAGGCUCGCAGCGGUUCUGACGUGCAAAUCGAUCGUCAAAUUUGGGUAUAGGGGCGAAAGACUAAUCGAACCAUUGAACACUACUCAGGUGGUUGAGAGGCCUGUACGGCCUAGUUCCCACGGGGGCAAUACUGCAAAAUUGCGGGGACAGUUCUACAGUCGCAGGCUACCACAGCGGCGCCCGAAAGGGCCCGCCACGGUCACAAAGCCUGCGCCUGAGCCGAUCCGCAGCGAACUCCCUAAGGCCCUACCCGGGGCUAGGGGGGAGCGUUCAUCGACUAGAUGGCAGUGGGUGUCUCCGGACGCCUGAGGUAUAGUCAGCCCCAGCGCGGCAGCGGUGGGAUCAGCCGCUCGGGGUG